UCCAGGAUAGCCUAGUGUACAUGGCACCUGCCCGGUAAGCAGAAGGUUGUGGGUUCGAUUCCCGCUCCUGGAC
Molecule: transfer RNA, 73 nt
Filed under: Cordylochernes scorpioides
Lineage: Eukaryota; Metazoa; Arthropoda; Arachnida; Pseudoscorpiones; Chernetidae
Description: tRNA-Thr
Rfam family: tRNA
About the family: Transfer RNA (tRNA) molecules are approximately 80 nucleotides in length. Their secondary structure includes four short double-helical elements and three loops (D, anti-codon, and T loops). Further hydrogen bonds mediate the characteristic L-shaped molecular structure. tRNAs have two regions of fundamental functional importance: the anti-codon, which is responsible for specific mRNA codon recognition, and the 3' end, to which the tRNAs corresponding amino acid is attached (by aminoacyl-tRNA synthetases). tRNAs cope with the degeneracy of the genetic code in two manners: having more than one tRNA (with a specific anti-codon) for a particular amino acid; and 'wobble' base-pairing, i.e. permitting non-standard base-pairing at the 3rd anti-codon position.
Source: RNAcentral